GACGAACGCUGGCGGCGUGCUUAACACAUGCAAGUCGAACGGUGAAGCGCCUUCCUUUUUGGUGGGUGUGGAUGAGUGGCGAACGGGUGAGUAACACGUGAGUAACCUGCCCCCUUCUUCUGGAUAACCGCAUGAAAGUGUGGCUAAUACGGGAUAUUCUUGGUCUGUCGCAUGAUGGGUCUGGGAAAGAUAUUGUUUCGGUGGGGGAUGGGCUCGCGGCCUAUCAGCUUGUUGGUGGGGUGAUGGCCUACCAAGGCGGUGACGGGUAGCCGGCCUGAGAGGGUGGACGGUCACACUGGGACUGAGACACGGCCCAGACUCCUACGGGAGGCAGCAGUGGGGAAUAUUGCACAAUGGGCGCAAGCCUGAUGCAGCGACGCCGCGUGAGGGAUGGAGGCCUUCGGGUUGUGAACCUCUUUCGCCAGUGAAGCAGGCCUGCCUCGUUUGUGGGUGGGUUGACGGUAGCUGGAUAAGAAGCGCCGGCUAACUACGUG
Molecule: ribosomal RNA, 494 nt
Filed under: uncultured bacterium
Lineage: Bacteria
Description: partial 16S ribosomal RNA
Rfam family: Bacterial small subunit ribosomal RNA
Source: RNAcentral